Molecule: small nucleolar RNA, 88 nt
Organism: Ziziphus jujuba (common jujube)
Lineage: Eukaryota; Viridiplantae; Streptophyta; Magnoliopsida; Rosales; Rhamnaceae
Product: small nucleolar RNA U30
Exons: 1
Source: RefSeq, a predicted model, not a curated record
UGCAAUGAUGAUGAGAAAUUCAUAAUCUCGUUAAUCCGAUUUCUAUGUGAGGAUAACUUUCUUAUCCAUUCUUUCUCUGUUUCUGAGC